UACGGGGGGGGCAAGCGUUGUUCGGAAUUACUGGGCGUAAAGGGCUCGUAGGUGGCCAACUAAGUCAGACGUGAAAUCCCUCGGCUUAACCGGGGAACUGCGUCUGAUACUGGAUGGCUUGAGUUUGGGAGAGGGACGCGGAAUUCCAGGUGUAGCGGUGAAAUGCGUAGAUAUCAGGAGGAACACCGGUGGCGAAGGCGGCUAUCUGGACAGAGUCUGACGCUGAGGCGCGAAAGCUAGGGGAGCAAACAGG
Molecule: ribosomal RNA, 253 nt
Filed under: uncultured bacterium
Lineage: Bacteria
Description: partial 16S ribosomal RNA
Rfam family: Bacterial small subunit ribosomal RNA
Source: RNAcentral